GACGAACGCUGGCGGCGUGCCUAAUACAUGCAAGUCGAGCGAAGUUUUUCUGAUGCUUGCACCGGAAAAACUUAGCGGCGAACGGGUGAGUAACACGUAAAGAACCUGCCUCAUAGACUGGGACAACUAUUGGAAACGAUAGCUAAUACCGGAUAACAGCAUUAACUGCAUGGUUGAUGUUUGAAAGUUGGUUUUGCUAACACUAUGAGAUGGCUUUGCGGUGCAUUAGCUAGUUGGUGGGGUAAAGGCCUACCAAGGCGACGAUGCAUAGCCGACCUGAGAGGGUGAUCGGCCACACUGGGACUGAGACACGGCCCAGACUCCUACGGGAGGCAGCAGUAGGGAAUCUUCCGCAAUGGGCGAAAGCCUGACGGAGCAACGCCGCGUGAGUGAAGAAGGAUUUCGGUUCGUAAAGCUCUGUUGUUAGGGAAGAAUGAUUGUGUAGUAACUAUACACAGUAGAGACGGUACCUAACCAGAAAGCCACGGCUAACUACGUGCCAGCAGCCGCGGUAAUACGUAGGUGGCAAGCGUUGUCCGGAAUUAUUGGGCGUAAAGCGCGCGCAGGUGGUUUAAUAAGUCUGAUGUGAAAGCCCACGGCUCAACCGUGGAGGGUCAUUGGAAACUGUUAAACUUGAGUGCAGGAGAGAAAAGUGGAAUUCCUAGUGUAGCGGUGAAAUGCGUAGAGAUUAGGAGGAACACCAGUGGCGAAGGCGGCUUUUUGGCCUGUAACUGACACUGAGGCGCGAAAGCGUGGGGAGCAAACAGG
RNAcentral lists this ribosomal RNA (768 nucleotides) under uncultured bacterium. Its description in RNAcentral is "bacterial SSU rRNA". It matches the Rfam family "Bacterial small subunit ribosomal RNA", at positions 28 to 776 of the family's 1533-position model. The record is from RNAcentral.